RNAcentral lists this long non-coding RNA (329 nucleotides) under Homo sapiens (human). RNAcentral describes it as "non-protein coding lnc-ZFP36L1-2:3". The record is from RNAcentral. Lineage: Eukaryota; Metazoa; Chordata; Mammalia; Primates; Hominidae.
GAAUUAUACGAAGGACCUGGCCGCAAGAAGGCAUUGAGCCCCGAGGAGGACAACAGGCCUCAGACCUCUCCAGAGUCCGAUGUCCUUCUGCACAAGUCCUUGUUGUCCAGUCUGUGGCCCAAACACCCACAGGGCAUGGUGGAGGCCUGAGACAGUGCUGGUUUUGCUGGGGCCAUCAGAAAAGCUUACGAAGCAGGCUCGGCCAUUGGCUGGAAGUCACUAGCCCCUGCUGGGCUCAUGCAAUACUCAUGGAACUGGUGUGGGCUCCUGCGGGUUCCCUAUGAGCAAUGCCUCACCCAUUUAAAGCUCGUCAAAGGACUUGUUCAAUA